Molecule: ribosomal RNA, 274 nt
Filed under: uncultured bacterium
Lineage: Bacteria
Description: partial 16S ribosomal RNA
Rfam family: Bacterial small subunit ribosomal RNA
Source: RNAcentral
AUACGAGGGGUGCAAGCGUUAAUCGGAAUUACUGGGCGUAAAGCGUUCGUAGGCGGUUUGUUAAGCAAGAUGUGAAAGCCCUGGGCUCAACCUGGGAACUGCAUUUUGAACUGGCAAGCUAGAAUACUGUAGAGGGUGGUGGAAUUUCCAGUGUAGCGGUGAAAUGCGUAGAGAUUGGAAGGAACAUCAGUGGCGAAGGCGGCCACCUGGACAGAUAUUGACGCUGAGGAACGAAAGCGUGGGGAGCGAACAGGAUUAGAAACCCUGGUAGUCC